GUGCUUGGUUUGACAGUUUGAUUCUUAAAAUCUGGACAGUGCAGAAAAGAUUAGCAUGGCUCCUGCUCACAGAUGACAUACAAAUUUGUGAUGCCUUCCAUAUUAAA
Molecule: small nuclear RNA, 107 nt
Organism: Mastomys coucha (southern multimammate mouse)
Lineage: Eukaryota; Metazoa; Chordata; Mammalia; Rodentia; Muridae
Source: RefSeq, a predicted model, not a curated record